Molecule: ribosomal RNA, 133 nt
Organism: Mustela putorius furo (domestic ferret)
Lineage: Eukaryota; Metazoa; Chordata; Mammalia; Carnivora; Mustelidae
Source: Ensembl
UCUACGGCCAUACCACCCUGAACGUGCCCCAUCUCGUCUGAUCUCAGAAGCUAAGCAGGGUCGGGCCUGGUUAGUGCUCCGAUGGGAGGAUGGAUGAGAGUUGCGUCUCCGGAGGACACAGGGCAGUUGAGAA